Molecule: ribosomal RNA, 370 nt
Filed under: uncultured prokaryote
Description: bacterial SSU rRNA
Rfam family: Bacterial small subunit ribosomal RNA
Source: RNAcentral
UACGGAGGGUGCAAGCGUUAUCCGGAUUUACUGGGUUUAAAGGGUGCGUAGGCGGACUAUUAAGUCAAAUGUGAAAGCUUGCAGCUUAACUGUAAGAUUGCGUUUGAUACUGGUAGUCUUGAAUAUGGUAGAAGUUGGCGGAAUAAAUCAUGUAGCGGUGAAAUGCUUAGAUAUGAUUUAGAACACCGAUUGCGAAGGCAGCUAGCUAUGUCAUAAUUGACGCUGAGGCACGAAAGCGUGGGGAUCAAACAGGAUUAGAUACCCUGGUAGUCCACGCCCUAAACGAUGAAUACUCGUUGUUGGCGAUAUACAGUCAGCGACUAAGCGAAAGCGUUAAGUAUUCCACCUGGGGAGUACGUUCGCAAGAAUG